GACUUGCUCCUGAUGUUACGGCGGNGGGUGAGUACACGUGGGUACCUGCCUGUAAGACUGGGAUAACUCCGGGAAACCGGGGCUAAUACCGGAUGCUUGUUUGAACCGCAUGGUUCAAACAUAAAAGGUGGCUUCGGCUACCACUUACAGAUGGACCCGCGGCGCAUUAGCUAGUUGGUGAGGUAACGGCUCACCAAGGCAACGAUGCGUAGCCGACCUGAGAGGGUGAUCGGCCACACUGGGACUGAGACACGGCCCAGACUCCUACGGGAGGCAGCAGUAGGGAAUCUUCCGCAAUGGACGAAAGUCUGACGGAGCAACGCCGCGUGAGUGAUGAAGGUUUUCGGAUCGUAAAGCUCUGUUGUUAGGGAAGAACAAGUACCGUUCGAAUAGGGCGGUACCUUGACGGUACCUAACCAGAAAGCCACGGCUAACUACGUGCCAGCAGCCGCGGUAAUACGUAGGUGGCAAGCGUUGUCCAUUUUUU
Molecule: ribosomal RNA, 487 nt
Filed under: Bacillus subtilis
Lineage: Bacteria; Bacillati; Bacillota; Bacilli; Caryophanales; Bacillaceae
Description: bacterial SSU rRNA
Rfam family: Bacterial small subunit ribosomal RNA
Source: RNAcentral